GAUGAGAACGUAGCGAAAUGCGAUAAGUAAUGUGAAUUGCAGAAUUCAGUGAAUCAUCGAAUCUUUGAACGCACAUUGCGCCCCCUGGUAUUCCGGGGGGCAUGCCUGUCCGAGCGUCAUUGCUGCCCUCAAGCACGGCUUGUGUGUUGGGCCUCCGUCCUCCUCCCGGGGGACGGGCCCGAAAGGCAGCGGCGGCACCGCGUCCGGUCCUCGAGCGUAUGGGGCUUCGUCACCCGCUCUUGUAGGCCCGGCCGGCGCUUGCCGACACAUCAAUCUUUUUUCCAGGUUGACCUCGGAUCAGGUAGGGAUACCCGCUGAACUUAAGCAUAUCAUAAGCGGAGGA
This 343-nucleotide unclassified non-coding RNA is filed under the name soil metagenome. RNAcentral's name for it is "partial contains 5.8S ribosomal RNA, internal transcribed spacer 2, and large subunit ribosomal RNA". The stretch from base 5 to 119 matches the Rfam family "5.8S ribosomal RNA", at positions 40 to 154 of the family's 154-position model. The record is from RNAcentral.